Molecule: long non-coding RNA, 1758 nt
Organism: Oncorhynchus tshawytscha (Chinook salmon)
Lineage: Eukaryota; Metazoa; Chordata; Actinopteri; Salmoniformes; Salmonidae
Source: Ensembl
CAGACCCUCUCUGCCAAUAACAGCUAGGUUCCCUCCCCACUCAGACCCUCUCUGCCAAUAACAGCUAGGUUCCCUCCCCACUCACAACCUCUCUGCCAAUAACAGCUAGGUUCCCCUCCUCCACUCACACCACUCCUAGACAGUCAUUGCAAAAUUCUUGCUUGAGCAAUUGCUCUUUGCUGAGAAGCUAAUUAUUUUUAUUUUUUAAAACAAUUUUUAAUUAAAAAACAAUCACAGUUAGGGACUCCAUUGUUACCCUGAACUGAUUUUGACAUUGCCUUACAACCUUACAUCUAUGUUCUCUUUUGUAAAAAAUGACUGGUAAAUGUAACAUUGACAUACCUUUCAAUCCCACAAAACCCAUCACUGUUGUACUUAUUCAUGGCAGGAUAAAGGCUGUGAGUUCCCAGUUUUAAUUCUGACAAACCUUGUAUAGCAAAAGUUAGCAUCGUACACAGUUCGUAUUUUCUAAAAGAAAAUAAUGUAUUCAAAUGUUACCCCUCUUGUAUAUUUUGUAUACGUCUUUUUUUAAAUAUAUUUUAUUUGAGUAAGACCGUUUUUUAAAUUGUAUUAUUGCACGGCAUCUCAUGUUAUUAGUUGUCUCAAUUCAGGAGGGGAAACCACGAUAUGCAGUUUUGGGUAUGCUGUACGUGGAUGAUCAGUUUGGGUGUGCUGUACGUGGAUGAUCGUACCUAAAGCUACUCAGAUAUAUGCUCUUCUCCUCAGCUGAAGCAAAGCAGGGGUCAAGCCUCAAAUGACCUACACGAUUUUCUUCAUAAUGCAUUUUAUACAAGGCUAUGUAGAAUUUUAUGGGUUGCCAGAUUGGAGAAAAAGUACACAUUUUUUGUUUUGCUUUUGGUGUCGAUGAAGGUGUUUGAUUGGGGAAUGGAGAUACAUUUUUAUGAUGGGGAAUUUAUAAUGUACACAAACACACUCACUUUGUUUGUACUCAUGUUAUAGCCAACUCUUGACUUUUUGUAUGAAUUAUUUUUUAUAAAAUGUUUGUAUCUAGUUGUCAUGUAUUCAUUAUGUUUAACUGGUUAAAUGUUUGUAGUUUGAAUGUUUCAGUAAGGAUUAACACACGGUUAAAUAGUCGUAAAUCACUGCUUCAUUUAGCUUUUGGUAUAUUUGGCGUUUUAUACAGUCUGUAUUUCACUGAAGAAAGCAAUGCAAUAAAUGGUAAGAAAUGCUCAUUCUGAAGCCAUUCGGAUGUGGGUUUCACAGCCCGAUAAUACAGGGAUGUGGGUUUCACAGACCGAUAAUACAGGGAUGUGGGUUUCACAGCCCGAUAAUACGGAUGCAAGUUAUAUCACCUUAAGGGUUUAUUUUGUAACCUCUGGGGUAUAACAUGUUGUGGCAAAGUGGUAUAGGAGAGUCUGACAUACAGUGGGGCAAAAAAGUAUUUAGUCAGCCACCAAUUGUGCAAGUUCUCCCACUUAAAAAUAUGAGAGGCCUGUAAUUUUAAUCAUAGGUACACUUCAACUAUGACAGACAAAAUGAGGGGGAAAAAAUCCAGAAAAUCACAUUGUAGGAUUUUUAAGGAAUUUAUUUGCAAAUUAUGGUGGAAAAUAAGUAUUUGGUCACCUACAAACAAGCAAGAUUUCUGGCUCUCACAGACCAAUAAAUUCUUCUUUAAGAGGCUCCUCUGUCCUCCACUCGUUACCUGUAUUAAUGGCACCUGUUUGAACUUGUUAUCAGUAUAAAAGACACCUGUCCACAACCUCAAACAGUCACACUCCAAACUCCACUGGCCAAGAC